UCCUCCACACCAGAAUGCAGGUUGUUUUAUUUUUUUUAAGUAUGAUUUCUCUCUUACGUGGACAUCUAAACAGGAACAACUGAUUCCUUUUUUAGAGUUCAUGAAACACUGCCAAAGGAAGCAAGGGCAAUGGGACAUCAUUUUAGGAAGGAAAGAGAACAGAAGAUAAAGCCACUCAUAUGCACAUUUGAAUGUCAUGAAAUACCAACAGCCCACAAAAAAGAAAUAUGCUACACUGAAACAUGGAAAAUAAAUACAGGAUCUCCAGAUGGGGCUUGUUCUUCCCAUCUCUGCUGAUAAGCCCUCCUGAGAACGCUCUAAUGGAAUACGUGUUUGAGACGAGGAAGGAGCUGAACUGGCAGGGGAUUUACAACGUGAACCAGUGAAUGUGAAUAUAUGGAAAUUAUAUACACCUUCAUGAAAGUUCACACAUGGGAUCUGGACUGAGAAUUUGCAUGGCCUGUCCUGAAAAUGUUUAUCAGUGUAGCACGUAAAGCUAGUUUCUGAAGAAACCAUGAGUCAGAAUGGUUUCUGUUUUCAUAAGAUUAACAUAAAAUUACUGGGAUGCUGUUUCUACUGCAGAAUGGUAAUAUGCAGAAAUCAGUUUGUAGAAAAUUAUUUUUCCGAAACAAUUCAGCCACUGUUGCCUUCGAUCACUGGCACUGAUGAAUCUUUGUGAAUGCAUGACUCUGUUUCAGUGGAAAUGCAACCCUAGUUAUAAAUUAUCUGCCCGACAAUGAUAGAUUCUAGAGAAUUAAUUAUUAGUUGAUUCUAUCUUUAAAUGAAAAUUGAUUAGGCAUCCUUGGAAAAAGAUACUAUAUACUUAGCCAAAAUGAAUUGGACUUAUAUUAAAAGUGCCCCUUCAGGUUUAAAUAGCAUUAUGAAUUGGUAAGUAUUCAAAAAUAUUAAGAAUAAAAGGUAUACAAAUAGCAGUGGUCAAAGAACUGGA
Molecule: long non-coding RNA, 949 nt
Organism: Balaenoptera ricei (Rice's whale)
Lineage: Eukaryota; Metazoa; Chordata; Mammalia; Artiodactyla; Balaenopteridae
Exons: 4
Source: RefSeq, a predicted model, not a curated record